AAUUAAAACAAUAUUAAAAGAAAGUUGAAAAAUAAUAAGUGCAGAAAAGAUUACAUACAUACGACCUCACACUUAAACAGUGUACACAAUGAUAAAGCAAGGCAGCACCGCCCUUGGAUUGAAGACCAACAACUCUUCAUCAUCAAGCUUG
Long non-coding RNA from Hibiscus syriacus, 151 nucleotides. RefSeq lists it as uncharacterized. The transcript has 4 exons. The record is from RefSeq and is a predicted model, not a curated record. NCBI's taxonomy places the organism in Eukaryota, Viridiplantae, Streptophyta, Magnoliopsida, Malvales, Malvaceae.